AGAGCGAACGCUGGCGGCAGGCCUAACACAUGCAAGUCGAACGGACCCUUCGGGGUUAGUGGCGGACGGGUGAGUAACACGUGGGAACGUGCCUUUUGGUUCGGAAUAGCUCCUGGAAACGGGUGGUAAUGCCGAAUGUGCCCUUCGGGGGAAAGAUUUAUCGCCAUUAGAGCGGCCCGCGUCUGAUUAGCUAGUUGGUAAGGUAAUGGCUUACCAAGGCGACGAUCAGUAGCUGGUCUGAGAGGAUGACCAGCCACAUUGGGACUGAGACACGGCCCAAACUCCUACGGGAGGCAGCAGUGGGGAAUCUUGCGCAAUGGGCGAAAGCCUGACGCAGCCAUGCCGCGUGAAUGAUGAAGGUCUUAGGAUUGUAAAAUUCUUUCACCGGGACGAUAAUGACGGUACCGGAGAAGAAGCCCGCUAACUUCGCGCCAGCAGCCGC
This 442-nucleotide ribosomal RNA is filed under the name uncultured soil bacterium. RNAcentral describes it as "bacterial SSU rRNA". It matches the Rfam family "Bacterial small subunit ribosomal RNA", at positions 26 to 518 of the family's 1533-position model. The record is from RNAcentral.